CGAGUGGCGGACGGGUGAGUAAUGUCUGGGAAACUGCCUGAUGGAGGGGGAUAACUACUGGAAACGGUGGCUAAUACCGCAUAACGUCGCAAGACCAAAGAGGGGGACCUUCGGGCCUCUUGCCAUCAGAUGUGCCCAGAUGGGAUUAGCUUGUUGGUGAGGUAACGGCUCACCAAGGCGACGAUCCCUAGCUGGUCUGAGAGGAUGACCAGCCACACUGGAACUGAGACACGGUCCAGACUCCUACGGGAGGCAGCAGUGGGGAAUAUUGCACAAUGGGCGCAAGCCUGAUGCAGCCAUGCCGCGUGUAUGAAGAAGGCCUUCGGGUUGUAAAGUACUUUCAGCGGGGAGGAAGGUGUUGUGGUUAAUAACCGCAGCAAUUGACGUUACCCGCAGAAGAAGCACCGGCUAACUCCGUGCCAGCAGCCGCGGUAAUACGGAGGGUGCAAGCGUUAAUCGGAAUUACUGGGCGUAAAGCGCACGCAGGCGGUCUGUCAAGUCGGAUGUG
RNAcentral lists this ribosomal RNA (508 nucleotides) under Salmonella enterica subsp. enterica serovar Enteritidis. RNAcentral describes it as "bacterial SSU rRNA". It matches the Rfam family "Bacterial small subunit ribosomal RNA", at positions 92 to 596 of the family's 1533-position model. Lineage: Bacteria; Pseudomonadati; Pseudomonadota; Gammaproteobacteria; Enterobacterales; Enterobacteriaceae. The record is from RNAcentral.